RNAcentral lists this unclassified non-coding RNA (1716 nucleotides) under Leishmania donovani. RNAcentral's name for it is "gene:LdHU3.24.1430(CDS-product:Surfeit_locus_prot ein_6_putative)". The record is from RNAcentral. Lineage: Eukaryota; Euglenozoa; Kinetoplastea; Trypanosomatida; Trypanosomatidae.
GCCUCGUGUUGCUCUUUCCUUCGAAAAAGGAGGAAGAAGAAAUCGUCCAACGAUCUGGCAGGCACGCUGGUAUGCACAGAGACCCGCUCUUGUGUGUGCGUGACUCUGUGUGUGCGGCGGCGGCUGUGGUUAUUGAUAUCCCACCCAAGACAAGCUUCGAAGCAUUCACGCACCCCACACGUGCGUGCACGGCCAGUCAGAGGAGGCCGAAGGCGCCCGAAGCACUGCUGAGAUGAAGGACAGGCAAAGUUCGAAUGGGAGUGCCUCGUUGCAGGGGCGUCGCAACGGCAGCGCAAACAGCAACGACGAUUCCGACCACCGCGGCGCGCGCCCCUUCUCUCCUCAAGGGCGGGGCGGCGGCGCCUCGUCUCGCUCGUGGUCACGCAAGCGCGAGGCCACGCGCCCCCGUGUCUCUGUCGAGGAUCGGAUGGCACAGCCCAUCAAGCACGUCGUCCCGCUUGACCUCUCGUUCGGCAACUUCGAGUUCCAAGAAAUGAAGAGCCUCGGUAAGCGCGGUGGUGGUGUGCGUGAGCUAUCGUCGCUGCUGCGUCAGGCGCGUCGCAAGGCCGCUACGCAUGUGGACAUGCUUCACACACGACAAGGCGCCGAGAUGCGCAGCGAGGAUCUGCUCUCCGCAGCGAUGCAGCGGUCCGCCGGCAUGAAGGUGAAGGACGACCCGCACCGCAUCGCCAAGGCUCUCGCGAAGCGCCGCAGCAAGAAGCGGCAGUCGGCGAAGCGCUGGGCAAGGCGCAUCCAGCACCUGGAGGACUCGGUCGAGAAUGUGGUGAAGGACCGGUCCAUUCAGAAGCAAACAAUGAAGGCGCGCAAGGAAGCCAAGGUCCGUGCGAAGAUGAAGAAGCGCGAGGCUACCGUUGGUGGCGGUGGUGGCAGCGGCAAGAAGACGGGGGCAAAAAAGCAGAAGAACUUCGGCGGGAAGCAGCAGCGCAAGGGUGGCAGUCGCGGCCGAACGACGCGCUGACCGAGUUUCGACUCUCGAUGGAAGAAGAGCGAAAAAAAAGGCAGAAGACGUCUGCGGGGGUGUGCAGUGCGUGUGCGUGUGCGUGUGUGUGUGUGUGUGUGUGUGUGUCUUCGCGCGCUUUUUCCUUUGACCCGCUACGUGGGCACUGCACGUCCACGCCAGCGUCUUCUGUCUUUCCGUAACACACUCGAUUAACCGGAACCCCCCCCGCCUGAUCUCGUGUACUCUCGGUGGCGUUUCCCAGCGGAUGAAGAAGCCGAGACGCAGUGGCCUAUGUGCUCCUCUGUCGUCCCUUGUAUCCCAGUGAGGAUGAAGGAGGGGAGGGCGACGCGUGAUGUGGCGGUUCUUUAGUUUUGGGUGGCGGUGGAGGGGGAGUGCGGUCGUGUUGCUCGUAUCCGCAGCUUUUCACUCCACAGACAUACACACACGCACGCCACGCCCUCCGCUGCUCCUCUUCGCGUCAUCCCUUACAUACGGAAUGAGCGAAGCGCGUGACCUCCUCUUCCCUUCGUCUCCCAUCGGCCCUCGCGCGCCUCCGCAUGAAAAGACGGCAUGAGUGACAGCAUCGCUAACGCACCGAUAAUACGAGAAGGGGCUGUUGGUGCUGCUUCCGCUUCUUCUCCAUCAGUUCUUCCUCUCCCUCGCUCUCUCCUCUACCGACUGCUGGCCGCAUUGCACGGAUGUGCGCAACGCCCGCGCACGCGCGGGCCCGACCUCUUGCGCUCGGCACUUCAUAG